UGGGGAAUAUUGCACAAUGGGCGAAAGCCUGAUGCAGCAACGCCGCGUGGAGGAUGAAGGCCUUCGGGUUGUAAACUCUUGUCUUCUGGGACGAUAAUGACGGUACCAGAGGAGGAAGCCACGGCUAACUACGUGCCAGCAGCCGCGGUAAUACGUAGGUGGCAAGCGUUGUCCGGAUUUACUGGGCGUAAAGGAUGCGUAGGCGGAUAUUUAAGUGGGAUGUGAAAUACCCGGGCUCAACCUGGGUGCUGCAUUCCAAACUGGAUAUCUGGAGUGCGGGAGAGGAAAGUGGAAGUCCUAGUGCAGCGGUGAAAUGCGUAGAGAUUAGGAAGAACACCAGUGUCGAAGGCGACUUUCUGGACCGUAACUGACGCUGAGGCAUGAAAGCGUGGGGA
RNAcentral lists this ribosomal RNA (395 nucleotides) under uncultured bacterium. RNAcentral describes it as "bacterial SSU rRNA". It matches the Rfam family "Bacterial small subunit ribosomal RNA", at positions 355 to 767 of the family's 1533-position model. The record is from RNAcentral.